AGUGAACGCUGGCGGUAGGCCUAACACAUGCAAGUCGAACGGCAGCACAGAGGAGCUUGCUCCUUGGGUGGCGAGUGGCGGACGGGUGAGGAAUACAUCGGAAUCUACUCUGUCGUGGGGGAUAACGUAGGGAAACUUACGCUAAUACCGCAUACGACCUACGGGUGAAAGCAGGGGAUCUUCGGACCUUGCGCGAUUGAAUGAGCCGAUGUCGGAUUAGCUAGUUGGCGGGGUAAAGGCCCACCAAGGCGACGAUCCGUAGCUGGUCUGAGAGGAUGAUCAGCCACGCUGGAACUGGGACACGGUCCAGACUCCUACGGGAGGCAGCAGUGGGGAAUAUUGGACAAGGGGCGCAAGCCUGAUCCAGCCAUACCGCGUGGGUGAAGAAGGCCUUCGGGUUGUAAAGCCCUUUUGUUGGGAAAGAAAAGCAGUCGGUUAAUACCCGAUUGUUCUGACGGUACCCAAAGAAUAAGCACCGGCUAACUUCGUGCCAGCCGCCGCCGUAA
This 506-nucleotide ribosomal RNA is filed under the name uncultured bacterium. RNAcentral's name for it is "partial 16S ribosomal RNA". It matches the Rfam family "Bacterial small subunit ribosomal RNA", at positions 29 to 523 of the family's 1533-position model. The record is from RNAcentral.